AAUUCUCAACCGUUAUUAAUUUAGCGGCUUGGAUGUGUGGGUUGCCGGCUUACGUCAGCUCCCAUCAAAUGCAUUAGCCGGUGCCGUACGGGCGUCUAUUUUGGUGUGAUAAUUAUCUACGCUGGUGGACUCUGUCAUUUGCACUGCUUCUAACCGUCUUUUGAAGACAAAUAAUGACA
RNAcentral lists this unclassified non-coding RNA (179 nucleotides) under uncultured Agaricales. Its description in RNAcentral is "sequence contains ITS2". The record is from RNAcentral. Lineage: Eukaryota; Fungi; Basidiomycota; Agaricomycetes; Agaricales.